RNAcentral lists this unclassified non-coding RNA (298 nucleotides) under Hevea brasiliensis (rubber tree). The record is from RNAcentral. Lineage: Eukaryota; Viridiplantae; Streptophyta; Magnoliopsida; Malpighiales; Euphorbiaceae.
GUAGAGUAAGACUCUUAUUCCCAAAUUAAACUUCUAGUCAGAUUAAGAUUGGGUGUAUUAAUACUAUAAACAGGGGGACGGUGAAAAGGUUAUUUGGCUUUAGCUAUCGAAGAGAGUUGCUUCCCAUGGAGAGGGGUUGUGGUUUAUUUUAGAGAGAGGCUUUGUCCAUUGAUGCGGGGCCACUUACCUAUCUAUUGAUGAUGAGCACUUGUUCAUUGUAGUGAAGAGAGGCUUUCACCUAAGGUAUUGAAAAGACAUAAAAUUUUAGAGUAAGGGAUUUUUGUCCAUUGGUGAGAGG